AGCGAACGCUGGCGGCAGGCUUAACACAUGCAAGUCGAGGGGAGCGGCAGACGGGUGAGUAACGCGUGGGAACGUACCUUUUGGUUCGGAACAACACAGGGAAACUUGUGCUAAUACCGGAUACCGAAAGAUCGGCCCGAGUCGGAUUAGCUAGCUGGUGAGGUAAUGGCUCACCAAGGCGACGAGCAGUAGCUGGUCUGAGAGGAUGAUCAGCCACAUUGGGACUGAGACACGGCCCAAACUCCUACGGGAGGCAGCAGUGGGGAAUGUUGGACAAUGGGGGCAGCCCUGAUCCAGCCAGGCCGCGUGAGUGAUGAAGGCCCUAGGGUUGUAAAGCUCUGUUGUGCGGGAAGCGGUACCGAAAGAAUAAGCCCCGGCUAACUCCGUGCCAGCCGCCGCGGUAAUAC
This 407-nucleotide ribosomal RNA is filed under the name uncultured bacterium. RNAcentral describes it as "partial 16S ribosomal RNA". It matches the Rfam family "Bacterial small subunit ribosomal RNA", at positions 29 to 526 of the family's 1533-position model. The record is from RNAcentral.